Long non-coding RNA from Protopterus annectens (West African lungfish), 1026 nucleotides. RefSeq lists it as uncharacterized. Lineage: Eukaryota; Metazoa; Chordata; Ceratodontiformes; Protopteridae. The record is from RefSeq and is a predicted model, not a curated record. The transcript is spliced from 2 exons.
UUUGUUCUAUGUGAGAGGUCGAUACAAAUUAUCUAGGCUGCACAUUUCACAUUUUUUUCCAUUGGUUAAAAUGUUUCUUGACUGCAUUUUAAAGUGUAUUUUAACUAACUGCUGCAUUAUUUUUGCUUUUUACAGUUUGUGACGGCAUCAUUUUCUGCACUUGAUUUCAACUGUACUGUUAGCCUAGACAGCACAGACUAGAUUCAAAUCUGUUGAAUCUAGCCUGUAAUUGAUAUACUUGAGCACUAAACCAGACAUCUUACACCAAGAAGGGGGGUUCAAUGUGUGCUUUCCUAUUGGCAGAUUAGCUUAAAAGUGUUUAUUUUCACCUGUACCUAAGCCUUGCGUUUGACUGUUGCUGUGCAUGGUGGGUUAGCGGUGCCCUGUAUUAGAUGCAAAUGCCUUGAAACACAAUUUUUUCAGAGACAUCUGUCAGUGGAACCCUCCCAAGCUUCCCUGCUACACUACAGGCAACUCAGCUGCACAUUGAGCAGUGCUGCAACACUUAUCAUCCCUACCCUUCAAUAGAACAAGCCCUUUGUUACUCCUAGAGCAGAAAACUAGUCUAACUAACCCACUUCCUUCCCUAAUAGUACAUACGUUAAAAAAACUGCUAUAAUGGAUGGGCACUUUCCCAUAGUUUCUCCGGCCUAGGCUUACCAUACGUCCGGUUUUCCCCGGACAUGUCCUCUUUUUGUGCUCCUGUCCGGGCGUCCGGCCUGUUUUGUCGUUUUGAGAGAUUUGUCCGGGUUUUACAAUCCCGAGGCAGAAUUCAAUUCUACGUAUGCGCGGAAGGUAGAAGAGCUCGCGAGAGUCGCGAGACUGUGUUUGCGCAGGGAGAAGCGCAGGACUGUGCAUGCGUUAGGGAGGAGGAGGAGGUCUCAGCCACAUAGCCGAUCUGUCAUCACAGAGUGAGUGUGUGUCGGUGUCGGAGUCUCCGUUUUGGUUUUCACUACUCAUUCUGCCUUUUGCCCCACCAAAGAAUCUAUCGUCCUCUUUUUCGUAUAACCAAAUAUGGUAACCCUA